RNAcentral lists this ribosomal RNA (717 nucleotides) under uncultured fungus. RNAcentral describes it as "eukaryotic LSU rRNA". The stretch from base 83 to 717 matches the Rfam family "Eukaryotic large subunit ribosomal RNA", at positions 1 to 649 of the family's 3401-position model. Lineage: Eukaryota; Fungi. The record is from RNAcentral.
GUGUGGUACCCCUCGAGCGUGCGAUGCAUUCGCCGCCACGUCUGGGGACCUGCCGACCUCAACCCCCAAANCCACUAGAAGUUGACCUCGGAUCAGGCGGGGAUACCCGCUGAACUUAAGCAUAUCAAUAAGCGGAGGAAAAGAAACCAACUGGGAUUGCCUCAGUAACGGCGGGUGAAGCGGCAACAGCUCAAAUUUGAAAUCUGGCGUCCCCCGGGUGCCCGAGUUGUAAUUUGAAGAGGAUGCUUCGCGGAGGGUGCCGCCNCAAGUUCCCUGGGACGGGACGCUGCAGAGGGUGAGAGCCCCGUAUGCGGGCGGCGGCCCGACGCUUGUGAAGCCCCUUCGACGAGUCGAGUUGUUUGGGAAUGCAGCUCCAAUCGGGAGGUAAAUUUCUUCUAAGGCUAAAUACCGGCCGGAGACCGAUAGCGCACAAGUAGAGUGAUCGAAAGAUGAAAAGCACUUUGAAAAGAGAGUCAAACAGCACGUGAAAUUGUUGAAAGGGAAGCGCUCGCAACCAGACUCGACCCGCGCGGAUCAGCCGCCUCUCCAGGCGGCGCACUCUGCGCGGGCCGGGCCAGCGUCGGUUCCGGCGGCCGGAUAAAGGCGGCGGGAAUGUAGCUCCCUCCGGGGAGUGUUAUAGCCCGCCGUGGAAUGCGACCAGCCGGGACCGAGGACCGCGCUUCGGCUAGGACGCUGGCGUAAUGGUUGUGAGCGGCC